GAUGAAGAACGUAGCAAAAUGCGAUAAGUAAUGUGAAUUGCAGAAUUCAGUGAAUCAUCGAAUCUUUGAACGCACAUUGCGCCCGCUGGUAUUCCGGCGGGCAUGCCUGUUCGAGCGUCAUUUCAACCCUCAAGCCCCCGGGUUUGGUGUUGGGGAUCGGCUCUGCCCUUCUGGGCGGUGCCGCCCCCGAAAUACAUUGGCGGUCUCGCUGCAGCCUCCAUUGCGUAGUAGCUAACACCUCGCAACUGGAACGCGGCGCGGCCAUGCCGUAAAACCCCAACUUCUGAAUGUUGACGUCGGAUCAGGUAGGAAUACCCGCUGAACUUAAGCAUAUCAAUAAGCGGAGGA
RNAcentral lists this unclassified non-coding RNA (348 nucleotides) under soil metagenome. RNAcentral's name for it is "partial contains 5.8S ribosomal RNA, internal transcribed spacer 2, and large subunit ribosomal RNA". The stretch from base 1 to 120 matches the Rfam family "5.8S ribosomal RNA", at positions 35 to 154 of the family's 154-position model. The record is from RNAcentral.